UACUCCUUCCGUGCCGAAUGUUUUAUAUUCCCGAGUGUGAAAAGCCAAUGCUGGAUAGACGGUUUAGAUACGUCACUGAGUGCCCCAUGGGUCAUCUUGUUUCCUAUUCAGUGGAAGCUACGUAAAGCAUCCCUAUAUUAA
This 141-nucleotide ribosomal RNA is filed under the name Triticum aestivum (bread wheat). RNAcentral describes it as "partial small subunit ribosomal RNA". The record is from RNAcentral. Lineage: Eukaryota; Viridiplantae; Streptophyta; Magnoliopsida; Poales; Poaceae.